Molecule: ribosomal RNA, 566 nt
Filed under: uncultured archaeon
Lineage: Archaea
Description: bacterial SSU rRNA
Rfam family: Archaeal small subunit ribosomal RNA
Source: RNAcentral
GCGAAUCGCCCUUCGGGGUGCAGCAGGCGCGAAAACUUUACAAUGCGGGAAACCGUGAUAAGGGGACACCGAGUGCCAGCAUCAUAUGCUGGCUGUCCGGGUGUGUAAAAUACACCUGUUAGCAAGGGCCGGGCAAGACCGGUGCCAGCCGCCGCGGUAACACCGGCGGCCCGAGUGGUGAUCGUGAUUAUUGGGUCUAAAGGGUCCGUAGCCGGUUUGGUCAGUCCUCCGGGAAAUCUGAUAGCUCAACUAUUAGGCUUUCGGGGGAUACUGCCAGACUUGGAACCGGGAGAGGUAAGAGGUACUACAGGGGUAGGAGUGAAAUCUUGUAAUCCCUGUGGGACCACCUGUGGCGAAGGCGUCUUACCAGAACGGGUUCGACGGUGAGGGACGAAAGCUGGGGGCACGAACCGGAUUAGAUACCCGGGUAGUCCCAGCCGUAAACGAUGCUCGCUAGGUGUCAGGCAUGGCGCGACCGUGUCUGGUGCCGCAGGGAAGCCGUGAAGCGAGCCACCUGGGAAGUACGGCCGCAAGGCUGAAACUUAAAGGAAUUGGCGGGGGAGCAC